CAGAGAAAACAAAGUGCCUUUAAUAUUGUUUGGUUCUUUUAACGUGGACCGUGUUUGGCUUUUUCAAGUAAAUAUGUAGUUAAAAAAAAAGAAUUAUACAAGUAAAAUAAAUUUCUGAAAUAGAGAACUUUAGGAAGAUAUAUUUUAAGAAUUACUAUAGUUAUAAAAAUAAAAUAAAAAUUGUGAAAACUUCAAGCCACCAUUAUAGUUUAGUAUCAAAACUACUAUACAACAAAAAAGAAUAUGAAAAAUUAAAUUCC
This 260-nucleotide long non-coding RNA is filed under the name Capsella rubella. Its description in RNAcentral is "long non-coding RNA (CRUB_LNC002344)". The record is from RNAcentral. Lineage: Eukaryota; Viridiplantae; Streptophyta; Magnoliopsida; Brassicales; Brassicaceae.